AAAUUGAAGAGUUUGAUCAUGGCUCAGAUUGAACGCUGGCGGCAGGCCUAACACAUGCAAGUCGAACGGUAACAGGAAGCAGCUUGCUGCUUCGCUGACGAGUGGCGGACGGGUGAGUAAUGUCUGGGAAACUGCCUGAUGGAGGGGGAUAACUACUGGAAACGGUAGCUAAUACCGCAUAAUGUCGCAAGACCAAAGAGGGGGACCUUCGGGCCUCUUGCCAUCGGAUGUGCCCAGAUGGGAUUAGCUAGUAGGUGGGGUAACGGCUCACCUAGGCGACGAUCCC
Molecule: ribosomal RNA, 286 nt
Filed under: Enterobacter hormaechei
Lineage: Bacteria; Pseudomonadati; Pseudomonadota; Gammaproteobacteria; Enterobacterales; Enterobacteriaceae
Description: partial 16S ribosomal RNA
Rfam family: Bacterial small subunit ribosomal RNA
Source: RNAcentral